RNAcentral lists this ribosomal RNA (398 nucleotides) under uncultured bacterium. RNAcentral describes it as "bacterial SSU rRNA". It matches the Rfam family "Bacterial small subunit ribosomal RNA", at positions 1080 to 1482 of the family's 1533-position model. The record is from RNAcentral.
GUAAGUCCCGCAACGAGCGCAACCCUUACGGUUAGGUGNUACGCAAGAGCACUUUAGCCGGACUGCCGUUGACAAAACGGAGGAAGGUGGGGAUGACGUCAAAUCAUCAUGCCCCUUAUGACCUGGGCCACACACGUAAUACAAUGGCGGCUAACAAAGGGCAGCAAGCGUGCGAACGCAAGCGAAACCCAAAAAGCCGUCUCAGUUCGGAUUGCAGGCUGCAACUCGCCUGCAUGAAGUUGGAAUUGCUAGUAAUCGCGGAUCAGCAUGCCGCGGUGAAUACGUUCCCGGGCCUUGUACACACCGCCCGUCACACCAUGGGAGUCGGUAACACCCGAAGCCUGUAGCCUAACCCGCAAGGGAGGGGGCAGUCGAAGGUGGGAUUGAUGACUGGGGUG